This 148-nucleotide signal recognition particle RNA is filed under the name Pan paniscus (pygmy chimpanzee). RNAcentral describes it as "Metazoan signal recognition particle RNA". It matches the Rfam family "Metazoan signal recognition particle RNA". Rfam says of the family: The signal recognition particle (SRP) is a universally conserved ribonucleoprotein. It is involved in the co-translational targeting of proteins to membranes. The record is from Rfam by way of RNAcentral. RNAcentral also lists the same sequence under 1 other name. Lineage: Eukaryota; Metazoa; Chordata; Mammalia; Primates; Hominidae.
GCUGGGUGUGGUGGCAUGUGCCUGUAAUCCCAGCUACUCAGGAGGCUGAGGCAGGGGAAUUGCUUGAACCCAGGAGGCCAAGGUUGCAGUGAUCUGAGAUUGAGCCACUGCAUUCUAGCCUGGGUGACACAGCGAGACCCUGUCUCAA